RNAcentral lists this unclassified non-coding RNA (284 nucleotides) under Phlebiopsis crassa. RNAcentral's name for it is "partial internal transcribed spacer region". The stretch from base 1 to 46 matches the Rfam family "Eukaryotic small subunit ribosomal RNA", at positions 1786 to 1831 of the family's 1831-position model. Lineage: Eukaryota; Fungi; Basidiomycota; Agaricomycetes; Polyporales; Phanerochaetaceae. The record is from RNAcentral.
AAGUCGUAACAAGGUUUCCGUAGGUGAACCUGCGGAAGGAUCAUUAUCGAGUUUUGAACGGGUUGUAGCUGGCCUCAAUACGGGGCAUGUGCACGCCUGGCUCAUCCACUCCUUAACCUCUGUGCACUUUUUGUAGGCUCUGGUUGAAAGGCGUUGCUUCACUUCGGUGUGGUAAUCGCUGGAAGACCUGGUCUAUGUUUUAUUACAAACGCUUCAGUUAUAGAAUGUUUAUCUGCGUAUAACGCAUUUAUAUACAACUUUCAGCAACGGAUCUCUUGGCUCUC